GUUGACCUCGGAUCAGGUAGGAAUACCCGCUGAACUUAAGCAUAUCAAUAAGCGGAGGAAAAGAAACCAACAGGGAUUGCCCUA
Molecule: ribosomal RNA, 84 nt
Filed under: Fusarium avenaceum
Lineage: Eukaryota; Fungi; Ascomycota; Sordariomycetes; Hypocreales; Nectriaceae
Also listed under: 1 other name
Description: partial 28S ribosomal RNA
Rfam family: Eukaryotic large subunit ribosomal RNA
Source: RNAcentral